Molecule: ribosomal RNA, 930 nt
Filed under: Enterococcus faecium
Lineage: Bacteria; Bacillati; Bacillota; Bacilli; Lactobacillales; Enterococcaceae
Description: bacterial SSU rRNA
Rfam family: Bacterial small subunit ribosomal RNA
Source: RNAcentral
AACCGCAUGGUUUUGAUUUGAAAGGCGCUUUCGGGUGUCGCUGAUGGAUGGACCCGCGGUGCAUUAGCUAGUUGGUGAGGUAACGGCUCACCAAGGCCACGAUGCAUAGCCGACCUGAGAGGGUGAUCGGCCACAUUGGGACUGAGACACGGCCCAAACUCCUACGGGAGGCAGCAGUAGGGAAUCUUCGGCAAUGGACGAAAGUCUGACCGAGCAACGCCGCGUGAGUGAAGAAGGUUUUCGGAUCGUAAAACUCUGUUGUUAGAGAAGAACAAGGAUGAGAGUAACUGUUCAUCCCUUGACGGUAUCUAACCAGAAAGCCACGGCUAACUACGUGCCAGCAGCCGCGGUAAUACGUAGGUGGCAAGCGUUGUCCGGAUUUAUUGGGCGUAAAGCGAGCGCAGGCGGUUUCUUAAGUCUGAUGUGAAAGCCCCCGGCUCAACCGGGGAGGGUCAUUGGAAACUGGGAGACUUGAGUGCAGAAGAGGAGAGUGGAAUUCCAUGUGUAGCGGUGAAAUGCGUAGAUAUAUGGAGGAACACCAGUGGCGAAGGCGGCUCUCUGGUCUGUAACUGACGCUGAGGCUCGAAAGCGUGGGGAGCAAACAGGAUUAGAUACCCUGGUAGUCCACGCCGUAAACGAUGAGUGCUAAGUGUUGGAGGGUUUCCGCCCUUCAGUGCUGCAGCUAACGCAUUAAGCACUCCGCCUGGGGAGUACGACCGCAAGGUUGAAACUCAAAGGAAUUGACGGGGGCCCGCACAAGCGGUGGAGCAUGUGGUUUAAUUCGAAGCAACGCGAAGAACCUUACCAGGUCUUGACAUCCUUUGACCACUCUAGAGAUAGAGCUUCCCCUUCGGGGGCAAAGUGACAGGUGGUGCAUGGUUGUCGUCAGCUCGUGUCGUGAGAUGUUGGGUUAAGUCCCGCAACGAGCGC